CUCUGGUGGUUUAGUUGGCCUCAGAUUCAGUUGUGGCUCAUGUUUUAUUAAUGUGGUGAGAUUGUCUUUUAUUUUCAGCCUCCCACAGCAGGUGAGCUUGUCAUAUUCACUAAGAGAGAACGAGAGAAGAUUGCCCACCACUUGCGUGAAUUGUUUCCACAGUUCUUAAUUUCUGCUGAGAGGCAGGCAAUAUAAACAAAGUUUUACUUAACUGCUGGAACAUUUGUCAAGGAUUUGAUACACGCAAACCUCCAUUUUUAUGCCGCGCUAUGAAAAUGCUGCAGUGUUGCUCCUCUGAGUAACCCUGUGCGUGCCAAGCAGUGUCUCAGAAUUAAGGUUGUCCUAAUGUUUCUUCUAAAGAACAGAGUGAUGACUUCCAAGUUCCUUACCUGCUGGAGCUGAAACCAAAGGUAAGACAAUUGAAUGUCUGAGAGCUGAAAUUUCACUUUUAGUGAGAAACAGGGCUUAAUUUGAACUCAGCCCUAUCUGAUCACAUGACUCUGCUCUGCUAGAUAGAAGAAGGAUAUUGUACCAGAAGAGUGAGUGAAACCUAACCUUACUUAGAGUGAAUGGUUUCUCCAAAAAAGAGAACCAGUAAAAGGGAGAAAGGAUUUGUAGAAGAAGAAGACAAUUGUGGCCUACUUAAGAAUGUUUAUAUGUUUUUUAACUUUUAAAACAAACACUCAGAUCAUUAACUUUGCCGUUGUUUCUAAAUACUGAAGAAUAAUCAUCAAAUAGUAGUCGGAUCUCCAGGUAAAAGCGAUGUCAUUAUGGACAUGUGGUUUUUCAGAGGCUAUUAAUUUUUGUUUCAGUGAAAAACCACAUUUAUACAGUAAAUCAUUUUUCCCAUUUAAGUUCUGUUCACUAUAAUAUAAAUAUUGUGUAAGACCUGUUAUGAGAGUGCUUAAUAAACAUUAAAAAUUGGUUUCACUUUGAUGUUCUGAGACUGCAUAAGAUAAACUCUUUAUUGAUUUAUUAACCAGCUUUCACUGGACCAGUGGCCUUAGGACAGGCUUACAGGAAACUUUGUCACAUCACUCUAGGAGCACACAACAGCUGAGACACAGUUUCACUAUAAAGAUAAGG
This 1086-nucleotide long non-coding RNA is filed under the name Homo sapiens (human). RNAcentral's name for it is "HSALNT0073108". Lineage: Eukaryota; Metazoa; Chordata; Mammalia; Primates; Hominidae. The record is from RNAcentral.